ACUUGAAUAGCUUAUGUUUUAGAGCGCGACGCUGAAGAUGUCGAUGAGGUUUUUAACCUUUAAGUG
This 66-nucleotide transfer RNA is filed under the name Spinitermes trispinosus. Its description in RNAcentral is "tRNA-Phe". Lineage: Eukaryota; Metazoa; Arthropoda; Insecta; Blattodea; Termitidae. The record is from RNAcentral. RNAcentral also lists the same sequence under 2 other names.